AAAGCUUGCUUUUGUAAGUUAGCGGCGGACGGGUGAGUAACACGUGGGCAACCUGCCCUYGAGACUGGGAUAACUUCGGGAAACCGGAGCUMAUACCGGAUAAUAUAAGGAACCUCCUGGUUSCUURUUGAAAGAUGGUUUCGGCUAUCACUUGAGGAUGGGCCCGCGGCGCAUUAGCUAGUUGGUGAGGUAACGGCUCACCAAGGCGACGAUGCGUAGCCGACCUGAGAGGGURAHCGGCCACACUGGGACUGARACACRGMCCARACUCCUACGGGAGGCAGCAGUAGGGAAUCUUCCACAAUGGACGAAAGUCUGAUGGAGCAACGCCGCGUGAGUGAUGAAGGCCUUCGGGUCGUAAAGCUCUGUUGUUAGGGAAGAACAAGUGCGAGAGUAACUGCUCGCACCUUGACGGUACCUAACCAGAAAGCCACGGCUAACUACGUGCCAGCAGCCGCGGUAAUACGUAGGUGGCAAGCGUUAUCCGGAAUUAUUGGGCGUAAAGCGCGCGCAGGUGGUUUCUUAAGUCUGAUGUGAAAGCCCACGGCUCAACCGUGGAGGGUCAUUGGAAACUGGGGAACUUGAGUGCARAARAGGNNGUGGAAUUCCAAGUGUAGCGGUGAAAUGCGUAGAGAUUUGGAGGAACACCAGKGGCGAANGCGACUUUCUGKYCUGUAACUGACMCUGAGGCGCGAAAGCGUGGGGAGCAAACAGGAUUARAWACCCUGGUAGUCC
RNAcentral lists this ribosomal RNA (735 nucleotides) under bacterium RB11SAN. RNAcentral's name for it is "partial 16S ribosomal RNA". It matches the Rfam family "Bacterial small subunit ribosomal RNA", at positions 75 to 796 of the family's 1533-position model. The record is from RNAcentral.